Molecule: unclassified non-coding RNA, 229 nt
Filed under: plant metagenome
Description: partial contains small subunit ribosomal RNA, internal transcribed spacer 1, and 5.8S ribosomal RNA
Source: RNAcentral
UCUCCGUAGGUGAACCUGCGGAGGGAUCAUUACAGAGUUUUUGCCCGCGAGGGUAGAUCUCCCACCCUAUGUUAUUCCUUCUCCGUUGCUUUGGCGGGCCGUCCGGCCUCGGUCAGGCCACCGGCUCCGGCUGGUGCGCGCCCGCCAGAGGACCCCAAACCCUAAAUGUCAGUGUCGUCUGAGUACUAUAUAAUAGUUAAAACUUUCAACAACGGAUCUCUUGGUUCUG